UAGGGAAUCUUCGGCAAUGGACGAAAGUCUGACCGAGCAACGCCGCGUGAGUGAAGAAGGUUUUCGGAUCGUAAAACUCUGUUGUUAGAGAAGAACAAGGACGUUAGUAACUGAACGUCCCCUGACGGUAUCUAACCAGAAAGCCACGGCUAACUACGUGCCAGCAGCCGCGGUAAUACGUAGGUGGCAAGAGUUGUCCGGAUUUAUUGGGCGUAAAGCGAGCGCAGGCGGUUUCCUAAGUCUGAUGUGAAAGCCCCCGGCUCAACCGGGGAGGGUCAUUGGAAACUGGGAGACUUGAGUGCAGAAGAGGAGAGUGGAAUUCCAUGUGUAGCGGUGAAAUGCGUAGAUAUAUGGAGGAACACCAGUGGCGAAGGCGGCUCUCUGGUCUGUAACUGACGCUGAGGCUCGAAAGCGUGGGGAGCAAACA
This 427-nucleotide ribosomal RNA is filed under the name uncultured bacterium. Its description in RNAcentral is "partial 16S ribosomal RNA". It matches the Rfam family "Bacterial small subunit ribosomal RNA", at positions 355 to 774 of the family's 1533-position model. The record is from RNAcentral.